UUGGGAGAAGCUUAGAUGUUCUUAGGACUCUGUGAGACACACAGCCAAUUCCGACAUGGAAGUCGGAAUAGUUGCAAACAGCCACGGAGGGCUGGUUUUGCAACGGUGGCGGACACUUGUAAAAACUUUAUCAGAGUCCUUAGAACAUCUUGC
This 153-nucleotide non-coding RNA is filed under the name pig gut metagenome. The record is from RNAcentral.